Sorghum bicolor (sorghum) is the source of this 4536-nucleotide RNA transcript. It is a transcript of the gene named eIF-2-alpha kinase GCN2, with no coding region annotated. The transcript has 30 exons. Lineage: Eukaryota; Viridiplantae; Streptophyta; Magnoliopsida; Poales; Poaceae. The record is from RefSeq and is a predicted model, not a curated record.
UCUGACGCGCCCCGGUGCCCCAUCCCAUCCCAUCCCAUCCCAUCCCAAAGUCCCACGGCAAAGCCGCGCCUCUGCCCGACGCCGUCGCCACGCCAGCGCAGAUCUCCUCUCCCGUUUGUCCUUCCGGCGGGGCGAGGGUGACGCCCGCCACGCCGCGAGCUCCAGGCCUCCAGAGCUGCUCUCUAACCGAUGGGGCACAGCUCGAAGAAGAAAAAGAAGCGCGGCGCGGCCGGCCGCAAGGCAGCCAAGGACCACGCCGCGCAGCUCGAAGGAGACGAGACCGCCCUCGACGAGGAGCUCACCGCCCUGGCUUCAAUUUUAGGGGAGGACUUCAAAGUAACAUCAGAAUCACCUCAUACACGAUGUAAUAUAUGUAUCAGGCCUUAUUCGGACAGCAUGGGCUUUGAUGAUCUUAAUAUUUCAGCUAUUCUUAGUGUAAUAUGCUUUCCUGGUUACCCUCACAAGUGUCCAAAGUUGCGGAUCAUACCUGAAAAAAACUUGUCUAAAGAAGAUGCAGACCGGCUACUUUCGCUUCUUGUUGAUCAGGCAAACAUUUAUUCCCGAGAAGGACGUGUUAUGAUUUUCAAUUUGUUUGAGGCUGCGCAAGAGUUUCUGUCUGAGAUCGCUCCAGCUCAUGUUUCAGUGAGCACUGCUUCUUUCUUGGGUUUGAGCUCAACUACUGAUGAAAAUGUUGAAGUUAGCCUUGACAGUGAUCCUUACCCUGGAAUCUCUUACGUAUAUAACUCCUUCGAUCUAUAUAGUCAGUUGUAUGAUGGUACUUGUUGGAGUCGACAAGGUCCAGAUCUGACAACAGAUAGUGGCAGGAAAAAUAUUGUAUCUCAAGUUCAAUCUAAUGUUAGAAGCAAGAGGAAGACCAUCAUUGAAAAAUCCCGUAUCUCUGCUGAUAAGGUCAAUAAUGCUAAAGCCUCAUCUGGUGAUAAAACUGAACAGCAACAUGCCACAAAGCAUGGUUCCAUACGGGAGGCAGCUCCAACUUUACAUGUUGUGGAGGAGGAAACUGAAACUGAAAGCAAAACUUUGUCUGCUAGCAAUACAGGAAAUACAUCAGAUACUCCUGAAAGGGGUUUUAACAGUCUGAAUGAACCUGAGGACACUGACCUUGCAGAGGAACCUUGGAAUGAAGAAGACUGUGAUUCAUCAGACUUUAGCUCUUCAAAUGCACUAUCUUAUGUUUCAGACAUGUUAGAUGAUGCUUCACGAAACAAGAAAAGGGAUUUAAUUCUGGUACAUCUGCUUCGGAUAGCCUGUGCAUCGAAGGAUUCUCUUUCAGCUGCUUUGCCAACAAUAUCAGCAGAGCUGUGCAACAUAGGGGUUCUUUCUGAAUGGGCAAAGGAUUUAAUUUCUGACUCUCCUGGUGUUUUUGGGGAAACUUUCAGUCAUGUUUUUGGGCAACAAAUGAUCUCUUCAGAGUGUUCUCUAUUUUGGAGACCUGAUAAUUCAUCAUCUAGGGCGAACUCCCGUUAUUUGAAUGAUUUUGAGGAGCUCCGUUCACUUGGUCAGGGGGGCUUUGGUCGUGUUGCAUUAUGCAAAAACAAGCUAGAUGGGCGCCAAUAUGCUGUUAAAAAGAUACGCCUGAAAGAUAGAAGUCCUCAAGUGAAUGAGAAGAUUUUAAGAGAGGUAGCCACACUUUCAAGGUUGCAACAUCAACAUGUUGUCCGUUAUUACCAGGCAUGGAUUGAAACUGAAUAUGGUCAUCAUAAUAUUUUGAAUGCUGGUGGGUCCCGCACUGCUGAGAGCUCUAUAUUUAGUUAUGAUGAAGUCAGCCUAUCGGAUGCAGGUGGUGGGAAUAAGCUGGAAUCCACAUACUUGUACAUUCAAAUGGAGUAUUGUCCUAGGACUUUGCGGCAGGAUUUUGAGACAUACAUCUCAUCUUUUGAUGUUGACCAUGCCUGGCACCUGUUUCGACAAAUUGUGGAAGGUCUAGCUCAUGUCCAUAGUCAAGGAAUCCUACACAGAGACCUGACGCCCAGCAACAUAUUUUUUGAUGUCCGCAAUGAUAUUAAAAUUGGAGAUUUUGGUCUAGCCAAAUUUCUGAAGCUGGAGCAGCUAGAUCAUGACCAAUAUCUUCCCACUGAAGCAAUGGGUGUUUCAAUGGAUGGAACAGGUCAAGUUGGUACAUAUUUUUAUACUGCACCAGAGGUAGAGCAGAAAUGGCCACAGAUUAAUGAAAAGGUUGACAUGUACAGUUUGGGAGUUAUAUUUUUCGAGCUUUGGCAUCCAUUUGCCACAGCGAUGGAAAGACAUCUUGUUCUUUCUGAUCUUAAGCAGAAGGGAGAUCCUCCAUUGUCAUGGGAAUCAAAAUUUCCUCGUCAAGCAGUCCUGUUAAGAAGCUUGCUGUCACCAAGCCCAUCAGACCGUCCAUCUGCUGUCGAGGUCUUGCAAAAUGAACUCCCUCCUCGGAUGGAAGAUGAGUGGCUAAAUGAUGUACUUAGAAUGAUACAAACACCGGAAGACACAUAUGUUUAUGAUCGAGUUAUAUCUACAAUAUUUAAUGAGGACAGGUUUGCCAAAAUGCAAGGCCAACAUGAUAGCAGCAAAAAGUCCACUGGUAACAUUGACAAUAGUGAACUUUUGGAUACCAUCAUUGAGGUUGCCAAGGAGGUUUUCAAGCGGCAUUGUGCUAAACGGUUCCAGAUAUCACCUUUGCAUACUUUGGAAUGGAAUAUUACCAAAAAUAGGGGAAACACGGUGAAAAUCUUAACUCAAGGAGGGGAGAUGUUAGAACUUUGCUAUGAACUGCGAACACCAUUUGUUAUGUCAAUUGCUGUUAAUCAGACAUCAUCAUUCAAGCGUUAUGAAAUAUCAUGGGUUCAUAGAAGAGCCGUUGGCUAUUCAACUCCUUAUCGUUUUCUUCAGGGUGAUUUUGACAUUAUUGGCGGUACUUCACCAAUUCCAGAGGCUGAAACCAUCAAGGUGGCUUUGGACCUUGGGACCCGUUUUUAUGAUUCCAAGACACUAGUCAUACGCCUGAAUCACGGUAAACUUGCUGAAGCAAUUUGCUCUUGGGCAGGGGUUUCUCAGGAUCGAAGACAAAAUGUUGCUGAGUUUCUGUCUUCAACUCUUGUUCAAUAUUGGCCAAAUGAGGCUGACCGCAAGUCACAGUGGAGUUUGAUUAGGGGGCAACUUUUACAGGAUCUUCGUCUUUCUGAAGAAGUUGUUGAGAAGCUACAUAAAGCAGAUCAGCGAUUUUGUGGCUCUGCAGAUCUAGUACUUGCUAGAUUAAGAGGGACCCUGUUCUAUGAUAAAUCUGCUUGCAAGGCUCUUGAUGAUCUAUCCGCGCUUCUGAGAUGUUUGAGAGUAUGGUCUGUAGAACAACCAAUUACAACUAUUGAUGUACUCAUGCCUCCCUCAGAAUGUUACUAUACAGAUUUGUUUUUCCAGGUAUACUCAAAAGAAGGUAAUCAUGGACCGAGUUUCCAUGAAAAGUUGCUGGCAGUUGGUGGACGAUAUGAUCGGUUGGUGGAACAAGCUUGGGAUAAGGCAUAUAAAUCUAAACCCCCAGGUGCUGUUGGUGUGAGCAUUGCACUUGAGAAAUUUCUUCCUAAUAAUCCUUCAUCUGAUCUUGGGUUGCGAAGGUUACUGUCCAGGAUUGAACCUAGCAUCAGUGUACUUGUCUGUUCAAGGGGUGGUGGCGGUCUGUUAACUGAACGCAUGGAACUUGUUGCAGAGCUUUGGAAAGCUAACAUAAAGGCUCAGUUUGUUCCUCAGGAAGAUCCAAGUCUUCAAGAACAGUAUGAAUAUGCCAGUGAUCAUGAUAUUAAAUGCCUUGCAUUUAUCACUGAAUCAGGUCUGUCACAAACAGAUCUUGUGAAGGUUCGGCAUCUUGAUUUUAAAAAGGAGAAGGAUGUUGAAAGAGAGGGACUAAUAAAGUUCCUGUCUGAUGCAAUAUGUUCACAAUUCAAAAAUCCUACGAUCUGGAGCUGACCAGCGGCCCUCCCAAGUCCUUAGUCGAUCUGUUUUCAGGCUCUAGCAUGGCAUCAAAAAAUGGUUUGUGGUUACCAGUGUCUUUCGAACUUCCAGGUGAAAACAAUGUUUGCUGUUCGAACAUGUGAAGGCGCACCGGGUUACAAUCAUGCUUGUUGGCUUCCGUGCAUACGGUAAGGCGGUUGUUGGCUCUCUGCAGGUUGUUGCCAAACGUUACGCACUUGUGGCCUUUACUGAAGAUGGGUGCGGCCGUGCGGUGAUUGGCCAAUUGGUGUAAUCCUGGACCUCCGGGUUGUCCUCCUGAGGACCAAUUCCGUGCAAGGUUGCUUCAGACACAAGGUGGUGGGUAGUUGGUGCAAUUCUGCAGUUUUGGGGCUAUUAGUACUAGAUUAGAUGGAUUGGGAGGUGCGCGGUUUUCUACAACAGAUCCUCCGGUUUUGCCAUUUUUGCCUUUGUGUUCUCUUUUUGGUGCGUGCGAUUUUUUCCCCCAAUAGGACUACCUUGUACAUAGUUCGUUUAGCGUGAUCCACCAUGUACAGGCAAAUUUUUUACAUUGUUGGGUUGCUGAUAAUGAAAUGCUCAAUUUUGCAA